GCAGAGGGAAAAGGAGUGAUCCGCUUUGAGAUGGCCUCGCGUCCGAUUAGCUAGUUGGUGAGGUAACGGCCCACCAAGGCGACGAUCGGUAGCCGGACUGAGAGGUUGAACGGCCACAUUGGGACUGAGACACGGCCCAGACUCCUACGGGAGGCAGCAGUGGGGAAUAUUGCACAAUGGGGGAAACCCUGAUGCAGCGACGCCGCGUGGAGGAAGAAGGUCUUCGGAUUGUAAACUCCUGUUGUUGAGGAAGAUAA
This 257-nucleotide ribosomal RNA is filed under the name uncultured bacterium. RNAcentral's name for it is "partial 16S ribosomal RNA". It matches the Rfam family "Bacterial small subunit ribosomal RNA", at positions 194 to 451 of the family's 1533-position model. The record is from RNAcentral.